This 497-nucleotide ribosomal RNA is filed under the name uncultured bacterium. RNAcentral's name for it is "partial 16S ribosomal RNA". It matches the Rfam family "Bacterial small subunit ribosomal RNA", at positions 28 to 507 of the family's 1533-position model. The record is from RNAcentral.
GAUGAACGCUGGCGGCGUGCCUAAUACAUGCAAGUCGAGCGAACAGAUAAGGAGCUUGCUCCUUUGACGUUAGCGGCGGACGGGUGAGUAACACGUGGAUAACCUACCUAUAAGACUGGGAUAACUUCGGGAAACCGGAGCUAAUACCGGAUAACAUAUUGAACCGCAUGGUUCAAUGGUGAAAGGCGGCUUUGCUGUCACUUAUAGAUGGAUCCGCGCCGUAUUAGCUAGUUGGUAAGGUAACGGCUUACCAAGGCAACGAUACGUAGCCGACCUGAGAGGGUGAUCGGCCACACUGGAACUGAGACACGGUCCAGACUCCUACGGGAGGCAGCAGUAGGGAAUCUUCCGCAAAGGGCGAAAGCCUGACGGAGCAACGCCGCGUGAGUGAUGAAGGUCUUCGGAUCGUAAAACUCUGUUAUCAGGGAAGAACAAAUGUGUAAGUAACUGUGCACAUCUUGACGGUACCUGAUCAGAAAGCCACGGCUAACUACGUG